RNAcentral lists this ribosomal RNA (253 nucleotides) under uncultured bacterium. RNAcentral's name for it is "partial 16S ribosomal RNA". It matches the Rfam family "Bacterial small subunit ribosomal RNA", at positions 524 to 776 of the family's 1533-position model. The record is from RNAcentral.
UACGUAGGGUGCAAGCGUUGUCCGGAAUUAUUGGGCGUAAAGAGCUCGUAGGCGGUUUGUCGCGUCUGCUGUGAAAACUCGGGGCUUAACUCCGGGCCUGCAGUGGGUACGGGCAGACUAGAGUGCGGUAGGGGAGACUGGAAUUCCUGGUGUAGCGGUGAAAUGCGUAGAGAUCGGGAAGAACACCCGUGGCGAAAGCGCUCUACUGGACUGCAACUGACACUCAGGGACGAAAGCUAGGGGAGCGAAUGGG